Long non-coding RNA from Poecilia latipinna (sailfin molly), 1069 nucleotides. RefSeq lists it as uncharacterized. The record is from RefSeq and is a predicted model, not a curated record. Lineage: Eukaryota; Metazoa; Chordata; Actinopteri; Cyprinodontiformes; Poeciliidae. The transcript is spliced from 2 exons.
CUCAGAAUGACAUUUAUUCACAGUGAACACGCGCCCCCUAGUGACUGGGAGGAACAAGAUACGAAUGGUCCAUUAGAGGGUCUUGUUGACUGGUGUGGAUUGGGCAGGUGGCGGUGCACGGAAAGGAGCUGGCCCUUUACCGUCCAAUAAAAAUAGCUGCGGUCUCCAUGAUGUCACCGCUGAGUAAAUCAUAGAUCCUGAGAGUGAAGAAGGGGAUAAAAUGAGGCAAAUUUUAAAAGAUAUGUACUUUUUUUUUUACACUUCGCACUUCCAUUGGUAAUUCAGAUUUUUUUUUAUGUCUUGGUUUUCAUAUUAUUCAGAACAACUUACACGAAUGCUCACUGUUUUGCAUUCAUAAAUGCUAGCUUACCUGCAAUCUUGAAGAUGUAGAAAAAAAAAAAAAUAAAAGAUUUCGCCCUUCUCCCACAGGUGACACUGUCAUUUUCAACUAGUCACACCGGCUGUAUGCUGCCAGAAGGGGUGUACAAACUAUAGUCAGAGUCUGAUCUCACUCCCAUACCUGGCAUUCUGGAGCCACAACACCAUGCUGCUGAUGAGGAACCCGAUCAGUCGUAAAUCUUCACUGUUUGACCAUGUGACAUGCCAAAUUUGUGAUUCUGCUCAGUCUCCCUUUGGUAUCUCAUUCUCUUCACCUUUUGCCACCCAGGUCGCUCCUCUAACGGCUCCGUUCUCUGACAGAGACAAUCCUGCAUUCCCCAGAUCAGUUCUUAAGACUUCAGCUCCUUCAUUUUUGAUUUUCUUUGACUUUACAUCUGGAUUCGAACAUGUAAUUUUAAUUGUGUGUGCAUAACUUCAGUGGCCCAACAGGAGGGUGUCAGCUAUGUCGGUAGUAGGAAUGUAGCACCUGUCAGCCUCGCCAAGGAUGCAGUUUUUCCAGAUUUUGCCCAUUUCACAAGAUGAACUACUGAUAAAUAGUGAGGCAGCUUUGGGGGGGUCAUUAACAAAUCUCAAGUGCAAUAAAAAAGUGCAGCCAUUUCUUGGCCUUGGCAAUUCCUGGUAUGUUAACAAGGUGGAAGGAAAAACAAUAAACACUAAUAUUUUUAUUUUC